UACAGGGGGGGCAAGCGUUGUUCGGAAUUACUGGGCGUAAAGGGUUCGUAGGUGGCCACUUAAGUCAGACGUGAAAUCCCUCGGCUUAACCGGGGAACUGCGUCUGAUACUGGAUGGCUUGAGUUUGGGAGAGGGACGCGGAAUUCCAGGUGUAGCGGUGAAAUGCGUAGAUAUCUGGAGGAACACCGGUGGCGAAGGCGGCGUCCUGGACCAACACUGACACUGAGGAGCGAAAGCCAGGGGAGCAAACGGG
Molecule: ribosomal RNA, 253 nt
Filed under: uncultured bacterium
Lineage: Bacteria
Description: partial 16S ribosomal RNA
Rfam family: Bacterial small subunit ribosomal RNA
Source: RNAcentral